CCAAAGUAUUGGAGUUUCAGCUUUAGCAUCAGUCCUUCCAAUGAACACCCAGGACUGAUCUCCUUUAGGAUGGACUGGUUGGAUCUCCUUGCAGUCCAAGGGACUCUCAAGAGUCUUCUCCAAUACCACUGUUCAAAAGCAUCAAUUCUUCAGUGCUCAGAUUUCCUUAUAGUCCAACUCUCACAUCCAUACAUGACUACUGGAAAAACCACAGCCUUGACUAAACAUUCCUUUGUUGGCAAAGUAAUGUCUCUGCUUUUUCAGGGAGACACAAUUCAAACCAUAGCUUUAUCCAUCCCCAGUUUACCCCUCAAUAUUAGCCUGAGUGACUCCUUUAAUAUUUUCUUUUCGUUCUUUUUUUUAAAAUGCAUUUAUUUGGCCAUGCUGAGUCUUAGUUGUGGCAUGUGGGAUCUAGUUCCUUCACCAAGGAUUGAACUCAGAUCCUCUGCAUUUGGAGUGCUGAAUCUUAGCCACUGGAGCACCAGGGAAGUCCCAAUAAUGUCUUAUAUGUUAUACCUCUGUUCAAAAAUGUCUAGUGGUUUCACAAUUCAUUCAGAGAGAAAACCAUACUCCUUGAUGGCCUACACAUCCCUCCAUGCUCAGCUCCUCCCCCCAACUCUCUCUGCUCUGGUUUUCUCUCCUAUGUCUCCCCUUGCUUGCUUUGCUUCAGUUCUUUGGCCUCUUUGCUUUGCCUUGAAACUAAGACAAGUGGAGUCCCCUCAAAGUCACAGUACCUGUUGUUCCGUCUUCAAACAGUGCUAUUCUCCCGAUUAUGCACUUGACUUGUACCCUCACAUUAUUCAGACAUUUAUUCAAAUAUCUCCUACUCGGAAAGGUUUUCCAUGAAUAAAAUUAAAAUUCUAAAUCAAAUUAGCAGUGAAAUAGCCCUUUAUCUUCCUGACUCCACCCACUGCUGAUUGAUCCCCUGCUCUGUGUCCUGUUUUUCCACAGCACUUUUGAUAUAUUUAGUUAUUUGUUUUCCUCCACUAAAAAGGCAGCUUACAAAGAGCAAGUGUUUUGUCUCUUUGAUUCAAUUCC
This 1038-nucleotide long non-coding RNA is filed under the name Cervus hanglu yarkandensis (Yarkand deer). RNAcentral's name for it is "lncRNA (ENSCHYG00000000392.1)". Lineage: Eukaryota; Metazoa; Chordata; Mammalia; Artiodactyla; Cervidae. The record is from RNAcentral.